This 495-nucleotide ribosomal RNA is filed under the name uncultured bacterium. Its description in RNAcentral is "partial 16S ribosomal RNA". It matches the Rfam family "Bacterial small subunit ribosomal RNA", at positions 30 to 507 of the family's 1533-position model. The record is from RNAcentral.
CGAACGCUGGCGGCGUGCCUAAUACAUGCAAGUCGAGCGAACAGACGAGGAGCUUGCUCCUCUGACGUUAGCGGCGGACGGGUGAGUAACACGUGGAUAACCUACCUAUAAGACUGGGAUAACUUCGGGAAACCGGAGCUAAUACCGGAUAAUAUAUUGAACCGCAUGGUUCAAUAGUGAAAGACGGUUUUGCUGUCACUUAUAGAUGGAUCCGCGCCGCAUUAGCUAGUUGGUAAGGUAACGGCUUACCAAGGCGACGAUGCGUAGCCGACCUGAGAGGGUGAUCGGCCACACUGGAACUGAGACACGGUCCAGACUCCUACGGGAGGCAGCAGUAGGGAAUCUUCCGCAAUGGGCGAAAGCCUGACGGAGCAACGCCGCGUGAGUGAUGAAGGUCUUCGGAUCGUAAAACUCUGUUAUUAGGGAAGAACAAAUGUGUAAGUAACUAUGCACGUCUUGACGGUACCUAAUCAGAAAGCCACGGCUAACUACGUG